UGAACGCUGGCGGCGUGCUUAACACAUGCAAGUCGAACGAGAAAGCUUUAGCUUGCUAGAGCGAGUAAAGUGGCGCACGGGUGAGUAACGCGUGGGUAAUCUACCCUUGAAUUUGGGAUAACACUUCGAAAGGGGUGCUAAUACCGGAUAAUAUCUUUUGUAUUGCGGUACGAAAGAUCAAAGAUAGCCUCUUCCUGAAAGCUAUUGUUUGGGGAUGAGCCCGCGUACCAUUAGCUUGUUGGUGGGGUAAUGGCCUACCAAGGCGACGAUGGUUAGCUGGUCUGAGAGGAUGAUCAGCCACACUGGAACUGGAACACGGUCCAGACUCCUACGGGAGGCAGCAGUGAGGAAUUUUGCGCAAUGGGGGAAACCCUGACGCAGCAACGCCGCGUGAGUGAUGAAGGAUUUCGGUUCGUAAAGCUCUGUCAAGUGGGAAGAAGUUAUAUAUGUUUAAUAGACAUAUGUAUUGACGGUACCACUGAAGGAAGCACCGGCUAACUCC
Molecule: ribosomal RNA, 502 nt
Filed under: uncultured bacterium
Lineage: Bacteria
Description: bacterial SSU rRNA
Rfam family: Bacterial small subunit ribosomal RNA
Source: RNAcentral